Molecule: transfer RNA, 71 nt
Filed under: Loxodonta africana (African savanna elephant)
Lineage: Eukaryota; Metazoa; Chordata; Mammalia; Proboscidea; Elephantidae
Rfam family: tRNA
About the family: Transfer RNA (tRNA) molecules are approximately 80 nucleotides in length. Their secondary structure includes four short double-helical elements and three loops (D, anti-codon, and T loops).
Source: Rfam by way of RNAcentral
GCAGUGGUGGUUCAGUGGUAGAAUUCUUGCCUUUAGCACUGGCGACCUGGGUUCGAUUACUGGCCAAUGUA